This 463-nucleotide ribosomal RNA is filed under the name uncultured bacterium. RNAcentral's name for it is "bacterial SSU rRNA". It matches the Rfam family "Bacterial small subunit ribosomal RNA", at positions 339 to 793 of the family's 1533-position model. The record is from RNAcentral.
CUACGGGAGGCAGCAGUGGGGAAUUUUUCGCAAUGGGGGAAACCCUGACGAAGCAACGCCGCGUGGAGGAUGAAGGUCUUCGGAUCGUAAACUCCUGUCGAUCGGGACGAAAACGGAGCGACCUAAUACGUCGAAUCGUUGACUGUACCGGUGGAGGAAGCCACGGCCAACUCUGUGCCAGCAGCCGCGGUAAUACAGAGGUGGCGAGCGUUGUUCGGAAUUAUUGGGCGUAAAGGGCGCGUAGGUGGUCCUGCAAGUCCUGUGUGAAAUCCCUCAGCUCAACUGAGGAACUGCACGGGAAACUGCUCGACUUGAGUUCGGGAGAGGGACGCGGAAUUCCGGGUGUAGCGGUGAAAUGCGCAGAUAUCCGGAGGAACACCAGAGGCGAAGGCGGCGUCCUGGACCGACACUGACACUGAGGCGCGAAAGCUAGGGGAGCAAACGGGAUUAGAUACCCUCGUAC